CCUACGGGUGGCUGCAGUGAGGAAUAUUGGUCAAUGGGCGAGAGGCUGAACCAGCCAAGUCGCGUGAGGGAGUACUGCCCUAUGGGUUGUAAACCUCUUUUGUCGGGGAGCAAAAGCCGGACGUGUCCGGCUGUGAGAGUACCCGAAGAAAAAGCAUCGGCUAACUCCGUGCCAGCAGCCGCGGUAAUACGGAGGAUGCGAGCGUUAGCCGGAUUUAUGGGGGUUAAAGGGUGCGCAGGCGGAUUUUUAAGUCAGCGGUAAAAUCGUGGGGCUCAACCCCAUCCAGCCGUUGAAACUGGGGAUCUAGAGUGUGCGAGAGGUAUGCGGAAUGCGUGGUGUAGCGGUGAAAUGCAUAGAUAUCACGCAGAACCCCGAUUGCGAAGGCAGCAUACCGGUGCACAACUGACGCUCAGGCACGAAAGCGUGGGUAUCGAACAGGAUUAGAUACCCGGGUAGUC
Molecule: ribosomal RNA, 458 nt
Filed under: uncultured bacterium
Lineage: Bacteria
Description: partial 16S ribosomal RNA
Rfam family: Bacterial small subunit ribosomal RNA
Source: RNAcentral